This 1192-nucleotide long non-coding RNA is filed under the name Olea europaea (common olive). RNAcentral describes it as "long non-coding RNA (OEUR_LNC011638)". The record is from RNAcentral. Lineage: Eukaryota; Viridiplantae; Streptophyta; Magnoliopsida; Lamiales; Oleaceae.
CGAUUCCCUAAUCGUAAAAGAAACACAAACCCUUUUCUUCCCUUCUCCAAUUGCACCGCAAAAACCAUAUCUAAUCAUCCCAUAUCAACCCCUAGACUCUUCACUCCAAAGCAUACUCAGUCCACUCUCCAAUUGAAAACUCUUUACCCCCAUCCUCUCAAGCAAAUCUCGAUUUGUCUUUCCAAUCCAUGUAUUUUUUUUCUUUCUUUUUUGAGGGCUUUUGGUUUUUGAUUUGUUUACUUUUUCUUUGUCAUUUUCCGAAAUAGAUUGUAGUAUUUCAUUGUCACUGUGCGUUGUGUAUAUUUUUGAGAAAUUUGCUUCGUCCUUCCUGAACUUAUUGUCCUAGUAGCAACUUUGCCCCCAACAUUUUAUUAUAGUAGUUGCAAGAUUAAUAGAAAAUGUCCAAAUUUUUAUUAAAUCAUGGCCCUCGUUUGUUCAAUUUUGUGAAGCUAGAUUCUGCUUUCCAAUUUGGAUGGUUGUGGUUAUAUUCUUUUUGCUUUCUGUUUAGCUGGUAAUAUAACUAUUUUCUUAAAGAGAGAGAGAGAGAGAGAGAGAGAACUGGAUUUUGUUGUAGUAUAAUUGAUUUGGGAAUUUAUGUUUAUGAAAUUACAUUUGCGAAUUGUGAUUUAUGAUAAGUGAUUUAUGUUUUAUGAGUUAUGAUUAUUGAUUUGGAAAUUUAAAAAACUUAAGAAUGAGAUAAUAUUGUAACGUUUUCAAAACAUGAGACCCCAUAAAAUACAGUUGUCUAAAUUUACAGUUACAAAGUGACUGAGUAAAGUUGUAGCGUAUAUUUUUUUUUAACAUUUUGGGUUAUAUUGAAGUAUAUUUUCAUAUGUAUAUAAUUUUGAUGUUUUAGUUCAUUUACAUAUAUAUCGAAUAACUUUUAAUAUUAUUAAUCAAAUUUUAAUAAACGAUCGGGCUAUUACAAUAGUUCAUUGUCGACGGUAAACAGUCAACCUCCGUUCUAGCAGAACUUCAAUCUUGGAUUCACGCUUGAUGGUAUGGUCUAUAAUUAAGCAACAAUUUACUUAAACUUUUGUAUUCUUUUUAGCUUGUGUUUCUAUUGGUCAUCUUAUUAUUUAAAAUAUAUCAAAAUAAAUUACACGUUCUUUGGGACGUAAGAAGAAGGCCUUGAAUUUCCAACUUGUUUGAAAUUGUUUGUGAUAUUUUGGCCAAGUAAUCUUUGAAAUAC